Molecule: long non-coding RNA, 387 nt
Organism: Diospyros lotus (date-plum)
Lineage: Eukaryota; Viridiplantae; Streptophyta; Magnoliopsida; Ericales; Ebenaceae
Exons: 2
Source: RefSeq, a predicted model, not a curated record
AGAAUUCGGAAAACAAUUAUUAUGUUACAGAGGAGAGGAGAGGAUAACUAGAAAAUUUGGAAUUGAGGCGCGGCGGCGGCCGGCUCCUGGCCGACAAAGGCGGCGAUGGAGCCAAGUUCAAGAUAGGAUUCGACAGGCACCGAGGCAGGAUAAAUGAGAAAUGCGGGCUUUGCGGGAAGCCAAGAACUCAUACCUCACUGGAAUAUUGCCCUUAUGGUUGCAAACAAGCUGAGUCUUGCUAGGCUCAUGCUUGUUUUUUAAGAAUUCUAUUGGACUUGAGAUUGGCUCGUUAAGAAAUUUGCUAAGUUUAGGCUUGGUUUGUUUAUACUAAAUGAGCUUCAAAACAAGCCUUUUCAUGAGCACUAAAUUUAAAACUUGUUCAAAGCA